This 374-nucleotide ribosomal RNA is filed under the name uncultured organism. RNAcentral describes it as "bacterial SSU rRNA". It matches the Rfam family "Bacterial small subunit ribosomal RNA", at positions 526 to 896 of the family's 1533-position model. The record is from RNAcentral.
CGUAGGGGGCAAGCGUUGUCCGGAUUUAUUGGGCGUAAAGAGCUCGUAGGCGGUUCGAUAAGUCGGGUGUGAAACCUCCAGGCUCAACCUGGAGACGCCACCCGAUACUGUCGUGACUAGAGUCCAGUAGGGGAGCGUGGAAUUCCUGGUGUAGCGGUGAAAUGCGCAGAUAUCAGGAGGAACACCAGCGGCGAAGGCGGCGCUCUGGGCUGGCACUGACGCUGAGGAGCGAAAGCGUGGGGAGCGAACAGGAUUAGAUACCCUGGUAGUCCACGCCGUAAACGUUGGGUACUAGGUGUGGGGUCUUAUCAACGGAUUCCGUGCCGAAGCUAACGCAUUAAGUACCCCGCCUGGGGAGUACGGCCGCAAGGCUA